Molecule: ribosomal RNA, 385 nt
Filed under: Escherichia coli
Lineage: Bacteria; Pseudomonadati; Pseudomonadota; Gammaproteobacteria; Enterobacterales; Enterobacteriaceae
Description: partial 23S ribosomal RNA
Rfam family: Bacterial large subunit ribosomal RNA
Source: RNAcentral
GGGUUGUGAGGUUAAGCGACUAAGCGUACACGGUGGAUGCCCUGGCAGUCAGAGGCGAUGAAGGACGUGCUAAUCUGCGAUAAGCGUCGGUGAGGUGAUAUGAACCGUUAUAACCGGCGAUUUCCGAAUGGGGAAACCCAGUGUGUUUCGACACACUAUCAUUAACUGAAUCCAUAGGUUAAUGAGGCGAACCGGGGGAACUGAAACAUCUAAGUACCCCGAGGAAAAGAAAUCAACCGAGAUUCCCCCAGUAGCGGCGAGCGAACGGGGAGGAGCCCAGAGCCUGAAUCAGUGUGUGUGUUAGUGGAAGCGUCUGGAAAGGCGCGCGAUACAGGGUGACAGCCCCGUACACAAAAAUGCACAUAUUGUGAGCUCGAUGAGUAGG